RNAcentral lists this ribosomal RNA (232 nucleotides) under Klebsiella pneumoniae. Its description in RNAcentral is "partial 23S ribosomal RNA". It matches the Rfam family "Bacterial large subunit ribosomal RNA", at positions 2711 to 2925 of the family's 2925-position model. Lineage: Bacteria; Pseudomonadati; Pseudomonadota; Gammaproteobacteria; Enterobacterales; Enterobacteriaceae. The record is from RNAcentral.
GGUGUUCGGGUUGUCAUGCCAAUGGCACUGCCCGGUAGCUAAAUGCGGAAGAGAUAAGUGCUGAAAGCAUCUAAGCACGAAACUUGCCCCGAGAUGAGUUCUCCCUGAGACUAUAAGUCUCCUGAAGGAACGUUGAAGACGACGACGUUGAUAGGCCGGGUGUGUAAGCGCAGCGAUGCGUUGAGCUAACCGGUACUAAUGAACCGUGAGGCUUAACCUUACAACGCCGAAG